Molecule: non-coding RNA, 73 nt
Organism: Podarcis lilfordi (Lilford's wall lizard)
Lineage: Eukaryota; Metazoa; Chordata; Lepidosauria; Squamata; Lacertidae
Source: the annotation of a GenBank genome assembly
UUCUUAAAGUUCAGUCGGUAGAGCAUGAGACUGUUAAUCUCAGGGUUGUGGGUUUGAGUCCAGUGUUGGGCAA